This is a long non-coding RNA of Tachysurus fulvidraco (yellow catfish), 385 nucleotides long. RefSeq lists it as uncharacterized. Lineage: Eukaryota; Metazoa; Chordata; Actinopteri; Siluriformes; Bagridae. The record is from RefSeq and is a predicted model, not a curated record. The transcript is spliced from 3 exons.
UUCACAUACCAAAUUGGGAUGGAGAUAUUUCAAAUCCAGGUUUUACUACAUCUCUGCUGCGAAAAAAACGUGGAGUUAAAGCAGGCAGGACUGCAGAAAAAGAGGAGCAGACCUGGCCAUCAUAAACACCAGCGAGAAACGGGACUUUAUCGUUAACCUGCUGAGCAACAAGGAGGCAUGGAUUGGUCUGAGUGACAGAGACAGAGAGGGGGUGUGGAAAUGGGUGGACGGUUCACCACUGACCACUAGGAGAAACUGCAUGGAGCAGACAUUACAGACUGAGUGCAGUGUGUUUGCUGCUGCUGUGUGUUUUCCUGCUGACUGCUGUCACAGUGCUGUGGGUCAAAUACAACACCCUGACAAAAGAGAGACCCCAGUUACAAUU